UACGUAGGGUGCGAGCGUUGCCCGGAUUUAUUGGGCGUAAAGGGCGCGUAGGCGGCCACGCACGUCCGUUGUGAAAUCGCCCGGCUCAACUGGGCGGGGUCAGCGGAUGCGGUGUGGCUCGAGCAAGCUAGGGGGCAAUGGAAUUCCCGGUGUAGUGGUGGAAUGCGUAGAUAUCGGGAGGAACACCAGUGGCGAAGGCGGUUGCCUGGAGCUUUGCUGACGCUGAGGCGCGAAAGCGUGGGGAGCAAACAGG
Molecule: ribosomal RNA, 253 nt
Filed under: uncultured bacterium
Lineage: Bacteria
Description: partial 16S ribosomal RNA
Rfam family: Bacterial small subunit ribosomal RNA
Source: RNAcentral